Non-coding RNA from Biomphalaria glabrata, 62 nucleotides. Lineage: Eukaryota; Metazoa; Mollusca; Gastropoda; Planorbidae. The record is from Rfam.
CAGUGGCUGAGUGGUAAAGCACUAGGCUUCUGAACUGGAGGUCCCAGGUUUAAAUCCUGCUG